Molecule: long non-coding RNA, 1587 nt
Organism: Fundulus heteroclitus (mummichog)
Lineage: Eukaryota; Metazoa; Chordata; Actinopteri; Cyprinodontiformes; Fundulidae
Exons: 3
Source: RefSeq, a predicted model, not a curated record
GUUUACAAAUGUUUGUUAUGCACAACUUCUGACUGAUAUGGACACAACUAUCCUUUUAUGUGCAAAUCUAUUUAGAACGCUAUCUUACCCCAUACUUUUUGGGCCUUGUAGGGUGGUACAGAAAGUUUAUUCCUAGGUUUGUAGAGUGUUCAGCUGUGUUGAACAACCUCACCAAAAGCAUGUCACCAAAUAAGAUUCAAUGGACAGACCAGCCAGAACCAUUCCCGAGCCAACAUCCAGUCUUUACAAUAAACUUUCUAAACUAAGCAUCUGUCUCCAUGGUUGCCCUCCUUCUGUAAACAUAACUCCCCCUACCUCUGUUUCCCCUUUAGCAGCCCGAUCGUUUGCAGCUCUCACGUCGUCUUCCUCACACGGCGUCAGGGUUUUCACGCCCGUCCCCGGACCAUUCUCCGGUGAUCUGAAACCCCAGUCAACACAGGCAGCACGUCCGCCUGGUUCUGCAACGUCUUCUCGAGAAUCGCCUAUUUGUGAAGGCGGAGAAAUGUGAAUUUCACCAGAGCACCAUCAGUUUCCUCGGCUUCAUUUUCGAGGGUGGGCAGGUGAAGACGGAUCCCAGAAAAGUCAAGGCAGUGGAGGAUUGGCCUUCCCCCAGGAACUAACCCAGGACUCCCGAGCUACCACACUUCCGAGUCAGAUCUCCGUGAACCAACAGAGACUCAGGUGCUGCUCGUGCCUUGGCCCUCCUGCUGUGCUCACCUGCCUGUCCACCCUCCAACACCGCAGAACCCAGAGAGAGUUCACCAGACCUGCACCUCCUCCCGGUUCCAGGACAUCACCUUUCCCGGACUGGAACUCAGCCUGGAACCCAGUGAGUUCUCCACUGACUAUCAGACACAUCCACUCCUGCUCCUGUUCACCAGUCUCCUCACUCUCUUUCCAGUGGAACCCAGACAGACAGACCAGCCAGAACCCAAGCCAACAUCCAGUCUUUACAAUAAACUUUCUAAACCGAGCACCUUUUUACCGUGGUUGGCCCUCCUUCUGAGUCUCAUUACAUAACCAUGACACUAUGAGGAGAUCAUUAGUGAUUUUUAUUUGGGCAGUUUCAGUACUAUGGGAGGGGCGAAAACUAGACUGGAAAGACACGUAAAGACUGUUGAGGGUAAGAUAGGCGUGGAGUUGAAAAGACACAAUUUUUUCGAGUAUUUUAAAAAUAAAGGGAAGAUUUGAGAUGGAGCAAAGAUUAAUAAAGUUAGUGGGAUCAGAACCAGGUUUCUUCAGAAUCGGGGAAAUAGAUGCAGUUUUGAAAAGUGAGGGGACAAUACCAGAGGAGAUAAAGGAAUGAAUAGUGGAAGUAAUGAAGGAGAGGAGGGAGGUGAGACAGGUUUUGACCAGAGCUGUGGGGAGGGGGUCAAGAUAACAGGUAGAGUACUUGGAUUUACAGAUGAGAUCAGAAAUUUUGGACGAAGUGGGCAGUAGGAAGCAGGAAAAUGACUGGCUAUGGAGGAGGGAAAGAGGGGAAGAGGGAGGCAAGGGGGUCAUAUGUAGUUGCUGGCGAAUGGAGCUGAUUUUUUUUAUCACAAAAGAUUAUUAAUGAAUUACAAUUCUGACUUGAAUACAUGUGAG